UACGGGGGGAGCGAGCGUUGUUCGGAUUCAUUGGGCGUAAAGGGCGCGUAGGCGGCCCGGAAAGUCUGACGUGAAAUGCACCGGUUCAACCGGGGCACUGGGUCAGAAACUUCCAGGCUUGAGGUCGAGGGAGGAAGGUGGAAUUCCUGGUGUAGCGGUGAAAUGCGUAGAUAUCAGGAGGAACACACGUGGCGAAGGCGACCUUCUAUCUCGAUGCUGACGCUGAGGCGCGAAAGCUAGGGGAGCAAACGGG
This 253-nucleotide ribosomal RNA is filed under the name uncultured bacterium. Its description in RNAcentral is "partial 16S ribosomal RNA". It matches the Rfam family "Bacterial small subunit ribosomal RNA", at positions 524 to 776 of the family's 1533-position model. The record is from RNAcentral.